CCUACGGGAGGCAGCAGUGGGGAAUCUUGCGCAAUGGGGGCAACCCUGACGCAGCCAUGCCGCGUGAAUGAUGAAGGCCUUAGGGUUGUAAAGUUCUUUUGCCCGUGACGAUGAUGACGGUAACGGGAGAAUAAGCUCCGGCUAACUUCGUGCCAGCAGCCGCGGUAAUACGAAGGGGGCUAGCGUUGUUCGGAAUUACUGGGCGUAAAGCGCGCGCAGGCGGUUCGAUAAGUUAGGGGUGAAAUCCCUGGGCUCAACCCAGGAAUGGCCUUUAAGACUGUCGAGCUAGAGGACGAGAGAGGUGAGUGGAAUUCCCAGUGUAGAGGUGAAAUUCGUAGAUAUUGGGAAGAACACCGGUGGCGAAGGCGGCUCACUGGCUCGUUUCUGACGCUGAGGCGCGAAAGCGUGGGGAGCAAACAGGAUUAGAUACCCUGGUAGUCCACGCCCUAAACGAUGAGUGCCAGGUGUCGGGAAGCUUAGCUUCUCGGCGCCGCAGCUAACGCCUUAAGCACUCCGCCUGGGGAGUACGGCCGCAAGGUUAAACCUUAAAUGAAUUGACGGUGNGAGNGCGACGAGACACGAGGAGGAG
RNAcentral lists this ribosomal RNA (589 nucleotides) under uncultured bacterium. RNAcentral's name for it is "bacterial SSU rRNA". It matches the Rfam family "Bacterial small subunit ribosomal RNA", at positions 338 to 949 of the family's 1533-position model. The record is from RNAcentral.